ACAGAGGGUGCGAGCGUUGUUCGGAAUUAUUGGGCGUAAAGGGCGCGUAGGCGGUGCGGUAAGUCACCUGUGAAACCUCUGGGCUUAACUCAGAGCCUGCAGGCGAAACUACCGUGCUGGAGUGUGGGAGAGGUGCGUGGAAUUCCCGGUGUAGCGGUGAAAUGCGUAGAUAUCGGGAGGAACGCCGGUGGCGAAAGCGAUUCUCUGGUCCUCUCCUGACACUGAUGCGCGAGAGCUAGGGGAGCAAACAGGA
Molecule: ribosomal RNA, 253 nt
Filed under: uncultured prokaryote
Description: partial 16S ribosomal RNA
Rfam family: Bacterial small subunit ribosomal RNA
Source: RNAcentral